Molecule: long non-coding RNA, 212 nt
Filed under: Gallus gallus (chicken)
Lineage: Eukaryota; Metazoa; Chordata; Aves; Galliformes; Phasianidae
Source: RNAcentral
UGGCAAGAAGCGAAAGAGCAGCUUAUUUCUCUGUUUAAUUUACAAGAGCUACAACUGGAACGGCACAUACUAGACUUACUGAUGUAACACACAGUGCCAUUGCAAGACCAUUGGAGGACUCAGAGAUCGAAGGGUACCUGGUUCAUCUGGAUGAGACCUGGAAAACAAGAGUCAUGAAUCAGUAAACACCCACAGCAAACAACAUGUUUUUU